CUGCUGGGUGCCCAUCAAGCUGGUGGAGACAGAGGUUGUGUGAAGCUCCCGAAGCCAUGUGGAAAACAGAAUUUCUUCAGACCACCCCAUGAUUUCUCCAACAUGUCUCCAGCAUGAACGCUCUCAUCACAACUUUUUGUGGCAUCUACAAGAUUUGUGCCAGCGCUCACUGAGGAGCUUUUUUAUCUGGAUCAUAAGGAAAUGGAAGUGGAAGAUAAAACCAGAAGGAUGUUCCUGGGUAGUACCAGACUAA
RNAcentral lists this long non-coding RNA (253 nucleotides) under Parus major (Great Tit). RNAcentral describes it as "lncRNA (ENSPMJG00000018195.1)". Lineage: Eukaryota; Metazoa; Chordata; Aves; Passeriformes; Paridae. The record is from RNAcentral.